Molecule: long non-coding RNA, 2496 nt
Organism: Dermochelys coriacea (leatherback sea turtle)
Lineage: Eukaryota; Metazoa; Chordata; Testudines; Dermochelyidae
Exons: 2
Source: RefSeq, a predicted model, not a curated record
GGCUGGGAGGAGACAUCUGCGUGUGUGGUAGGGUUUGAGCAGGAGUUUGGGGGCGUCUAGCUGAGGUUUAUUCUCAAACGAUGGGGCUAGUACCACGUAAAGUGGAAGGGGGAGCCUGUUUUCAUUGGGUCUGAGGCAGGUUAUCAGCUGACAAAUGGAGAAAGAUUUCUUCCUUUUUGGGGGUGAGGGUUUGGAUUAUUAUUUGAAGGCUAGAAGCGUUUUGUAGGUGUGUGCGGAGGGGGAGGGAGUGGAUUAAAUUGCUGAAAAUAAAAGCCAAUAUAAUAUACUGCUUAGGGACUUGGAGUUUAUUUGUGUCAUCAGAAAGCUUCCUUCACCACCACCCUCCCUGGCAUGCCAGGAUGUUACAGGAUCAAUACAAAAUAUUCUCAGCUGUUGCCUGUCAGUCUUUUUCCCUAAGCCAGGCCUGAGAUGUUUGAGAAUCCCAGCUCUUUUUAUAGAGAGAGCUCUCUGUGCUCCUUCUCAGGAGGGCUGAUUGCAGCCAUCAUUGUGAGCACUCACUUUAUGCUCUGCUCCCUGUGCACUUAAUUUCAGGACUUCCUUAAUCACUUACAUCUAAUCAUAGAUUUGUAAUAGCUCUCUAUGUCAGACAGUGAUUGAUCGACCUGUUUCAUGAGUUUCCUGUUGGUUAGGUCUGUGGAUUUACAUUGGAUAUCAUAUGGUAAUUUGUAUUGUAUGUAAACCUAGUUGGUGUUUUAAGGAUCAUAACCAGCCGAUUUUACAAGUUUUUGUCUUUUAAUAGAUAGCUGGUUGAUAAACUAGUAAGAAGGACUCUGAUGGAAAGAACUGAAUAGGGAAAAUUGUAUUUCCACUCUUAAUAUGUAGUGUUGAAUUUUUUAUUCAGAUCAAUAGUGAUGUUUGACUUUGACAAAGACAUUUUAAAAGUCUUAUUGAGAUUUUGAAAGUCUCAUCAGAACACACAUUAAAAUCCUUCAUAGUAAGAGAAAGAUGCUUUUUUAAAAAAAAAGAAGGGAGCCUUUUCUGCUUGUUAGAGUAGUCAGGAAUUUUAUCUAGAUACUAUUCCUGUCUCUGCCAUUGCCUUGCUUUGUGACCUUGGAUAAUUUACUUAACUAUGCUACAGUUCCCUCAUCUGUUGAAGAAUAGAAGAGUUUACAAGAGUGUAAUGAAGUACUUUAGACUCUUUGGAUGAAAGGAUAUGUGUAAAUUCAAAAUUAUUAUCAUAAAAAGCCUGCUUUAUAAUCUGGAAUGAAGAAGUGUCCUUCCAAGGUUUAGAAGGGAGGGAGGGAGGGAGGAAUCAGAUUGAUGCUUUCAGCAUCUCUGGGUAGUGAUAGAAUAGCAAGACUUACAAGGGGAUCACUAUCUCAGGUAAGAUUUGUGUAUUUUCAGGUCAGUAUAUGGAAGGCAUUACUUGUUCUUCUGAAGGGAAAAAAAACAUAUUAGCAUGACAGGAUGAAACCUGAGGGUUGCACUCUGUCCUGGAUUCAGACUCAUUAUUGCAGUAUACCUCAAUCAUGUCAUGAGAUGUGAAUCUAACCCACCAUGCCAACAGAUACAAAGCCAAGCUGCUAAUUGUGUAAAAUAAUGCUUGUAUAAAUGACUUAACUGCAGCGAAGCUAUAAUCAUGUGCUUACAAAAAUCUUUAAUAUUAAAUCAAGUUUGUCAUAUGUUUUACUGUAUUUAGUUCUUUAGAGCUAUGAAAAUGGCAUCAAUAAUAGCUUCUCUUGUCCCUCACUAACUGCACUUCAUUUGCUAGAAUUAUAGAGUUUUUCAUGUGUGUAUUAGAAAUGACAAAAUUUAGUAAGGAAAAUGGUUAUUGUACUUUUCUAAAAAUAGAAAAGAUCAAAAUCUAUUUUUCACAAUAUAAAUCAAUUUAAUUAAAAGGGUAACUGGUUAUGGUGUAUGCUACAAGAGGGAUUUCUUGAUGAUUAGCUCUUGUAAUAUAAUCUGAUUUAACUCUAAACCAGUGGUUCUCAAACAAGGGCUGCUGUUAGUUCAGGGAAUGCCCCUGGGGGGCCGGCUGGUUUGUUUACGUGCCGCAUCUGCAGGUCGGCUGAUCGCGGCUCUCACUGGCCGUGGUUCGCUGCUCCAGGGCAAUGGGGGCUGUGGGAAGCGGCGUGGGCCGAGGGAUGUGCUGGCUGCCCUUCCUGUAGCCCCCAUUGGCCGGGAGUGGCAAACCGCUGCCAGUGAGAGCCGCGAUCGGCCGAACCUGCAGACAUGGCAGGUAAACAAACUGGCCAGGCCUGCCAGGGGCUUUCCCUGAACAAGCAGUGGCCUUAGUUUGAGAACCACGUUAAACUCCAAACCAAUUUUAAAUAUUUUUGAAAUAAACAUUAUCUGACAAGGUUCUAUUAAUCAUUUUUACUUUAUCCAAUGGACAGAGUGCUCUUCUCAUUUUACUCCUCUUAGAGCCUGCAUGGAACAACUUGUAGGAUUAGGGCCUAGGAUAUGAUGAGGCCAAGGCAGAUAAGUUGAACACUAGGUAAAUUAAUCUUCGCAGGAUCCUUCAGAUGAGCAUCU